CUGCAACUCGCCUGCGUCAAGUUGGAAUUGCUAGUAAUCGCGGAUCAGCAUGCCGCGGUGAAUACGUUCCCGGGCCUUGUACACACCGCCCGUCACACCAUGAGAGUCGGGAACACCCGAAGUCCGUAGUCUAACCGCAAGGAGGGCGCGGCCGAAGGUGGGUUCGAUAAUUGGGGUGAAGUCGUAACAAGGUAUC
RNAcentral lists this ribosomal RNA (196 nucleotides) under uncultured bacterium. Its description in RNAcentral is "partial 16S ribosomal RNA". It matches the Rfam family "Bacterial small subunit ribosomal RNA", at positions 1305 to 1500 of the family's 1533-position model. The record is from RNAcentral.